RNAcentral lists this unclassified non-coding RNA (329 nucleotides) under soil metagenome. RNAcentral describes it as "partial contains 5.8S ribosomal RNA, internal transcribed spacer 2, and large subunit ribosomal RNA". The stretch from base 1 to 120 matches the Rfam family "5.8S ribosomal RNA", at positions 35 to 154 of the family's 154-position model. The record is from RNAcentral.
GAUGAAGAACGCAGCGAAAUGCGAUACGUAAUGUGAAUUGCAGAUUUCAGUGAAUCAUCGAAUCUUUGAACGCACAUUGCGCCCGCCAGUAUUCUGGCGGGCAUGCCUGUUCGAGCGUCAUUUCAACCAUCAAGCCUUUGCUUGCGUUGGGGCCCCGCGGCUGCCGCGGCCCCCUAAAUCCAGUGGCGGGCUCGUCGUCGUACCGAGCGCAGUAAACAUCCUCGCUCCGGGAACCCGACGGGUGCCGGCCGUGAAACCCCCCACAUCAAGGUUGACCUCGGAUCAGGUAGGAAUACCCGCUGAACUUAAGCAUAUCAAUAAGCGGAGGA